Molecule: ribosomal RNA, 252 nt
Filed under: uncultured bacterium
Lineage: Bacteria
Description: partial 16S ribosomal RNA
Rfam family: Bacterial small subunit ribosomal RNA
Source: RNAcentral
UACGAAAGGGGCGAGCGUUAUUCGGAAUGAUUGGGCGUAAAGCGUGCGUAGAUUGUUUUGCUUUGUUUCUCUAUCCAGAUAUAAAUAUCAUUUAUAUUAAGAGAAUGAAAUGAAAACUUGAGUAUUUAUUAGGAGAGUAGAAUUCCUGGAGUAGAGGUAAAAUUUGUUGAUCUCAGGAGGAAUACCUAAAGCGAAAGCAGCUCUCUAGUAAAGCACUAACAUUGAGGCACGAAAGCGUGGGUAGCGAAGAGG